CAUGAUAAAAUUGGGUAAAAUCCAUGUGCUGGACAAGUGUUCUGGUGGUUGAAAAUUACAAUUUUGCCCUUGCGAUGGCAAAAUUACCAUUUUACCCCUAUACUCCGAAAAAUACCUAGAUCACCAUUUUUCACUUCUCAACCUCAAAUCAUACUCCAACAAGUCAAAUAUGAUCAAAAUCCUAAAAAAAAAAUUCCCAUUUUGUCAUCGAGUGGCAAAAUUAUCAUUUUACCCCUGGAUAGUGAAAUUUUCGGUUUGACUCCAAAUUGAUCCUCGAACUCCAAAUCACCAUAUUAAACCAUUCUGGGACUUUAAAAUUCUUAUUUUCAUCUUAAAUUCUCUAUUUGAUCUAAUUCGAGACUUAAAUCAACUUUGUUGUACCUUUAGGUACAAUACCGACUUUUGUAAAUUUUUCGAGACUCUCCUAGCAUGCAAACAUGCUAUCCAUCACAUGUAUGUCAUGACAAAUAUUUUACAGAGUCAGGCUUGACAUCUUUUCCCCCACUUGGAUCAACCAUAUGAUCCUUCUUCAUGACUGAUUUCGACAUCUAGCUAAAUAUUAAUAUUUUAAUAUUAUUUUAUUAAUAAAAUAUUAUUUUAUUCUAAAAAUUUUAUCUUGUCUCUUUGGUUCCCAAAGUUCCUUAUUAUGCCUCAAUUCGCAUCUGACCAACUUUAUUUAUCACCAUAUCAAAGUACGAGGUAUUUCAGGUUUGUUUCUAGACAUGAUAAACUAACUAAAAACACUAACAUAACUUAGAAUCAAAUCAAUCCAACUUCAUUCUCUCUCCAUAACCAUUCCAACCAGCUAUGAUUUCACCAUGAAAACAUGAAAUUUAACCAUGGAAAAUGAAAAAGAAAGCAUGGGUAGUGUAAAUCACAAGUCAAAAUCAAGAAAUUUUACCUUUAUUAGCUUAAUCCCUUGAAAUCCCACACUUUUUCUUCAAUUUUCCCAUCUAGGGUUCUUGUUUUUUUCCUUUCCUCCUUUGUUCUUCUUUGG
This 997-nucleotide long non-coding RNA is filed under the name Theobroma cacao (cacao). RNAcentral's name for it is "long non-coding RNA (TCAC_LNC006229)". The record is from RNAcentral. Lineage: Eukaryota; Viridiplantae; Streptophyta; Magnoliopsida; Malvales; Malvaceae.